RNAcentral lists this ribosomal RNA (301 nucleotides) under uncultured bacterium. RNAcentral describes it as "partial 16S ribosomal RNA". It matches the Rfam family "Bacterial small subunit ribosomal RNA", at positions 509 to 807 of the family's 1533-position model. The record is from RNAcentral.
CAGCAGCCACGGUAAUACGAAGGGGGCUAGCGUUGCUCGGAAUGACUGGGCGUAAAGGGCGCGUAGGCGGCGGCCAAAGUCAGGCGUGAAAUUCCCGGGCUCAACCUGGGGGCUGCGUUUGAUACUUGGUUGCUUGAGUGGGGAAGAGGGUUGUGGAAUUCCCAGUGUAGAGGUGAAAUUCGUAGAUAUUCGCAAGAACACCAGUGGCGAAGGCGGCUUACUGGUCCGGUACUGACGCUGAGGUGCGAAAGCGUGGGGAGCAAACAGGAUUAGAUACCCGAGUAGUCCCUGUCUCUUAUAC